GUAUAAGAGACAGCAGCAGCCGCGGGAAUACGGAGGAUCCAAGCGUUAUCCGGAAUCAUUGGGUUUAAAGGGUCCGUAGGCGGUCUUGUAAGUCAGUGGUGAAAGCCCAUCGCUCAACGGUGGAACGGCCAUUGAUACUGCAGGACUUGAAUUAUUGGGAAGUAACUAGAAUAUGUAGUGUAGCGGUGAAAUGCUUAGAGAUUACAUGGAAUACCAAUUGCGAAGGCAGGUUACUACCAAUUGAUUGACGCUGAUGUACGAAAGCGUGGGUAGCGAACAGGAUUAGAUACCCCCGUAGUCCCUGUCUCUUAUAU
Molecule: ribosomal RNA, 314 nt
Filed under: uncultured bacterium
Lineage: Bacteria
Description: partial 16S ribosomal RNA
Rfam family: Bacterial small subunit ribosomal RNA
Source: RNAcentral